Molecule: ribosomal RNA, 253 nt
Filed under: uncultured bacterium
Lineage: Bacteria
Description: partial 16S ribosomal RNA
Rfam family: Bacterial small subunit ribosomal RNA
Source: RNAcentral
UACGGAGGGUGCAAGCGUUAUCCGGAUUUAUUGGGUUUAAAGGGUCCGUAGGCGGAUCGUUAAGUCAGUGGUGAAAGCCUACCGCUCAACGGUAGAACUGCCAUUGAUACUGGCGAUCUUGAGUAUGUAUGAAGUUGGCGGAAUGUGUGGUGUAGCGGUGAAAUGCUUAGAUAUCACACAGAACACCGAUUGCGAAGGCAGCUGACUAAUACAUAACUGACGCUGAGGGACGAAAGUGUGGGGAUCAAACAGG